GUCUACGUCAUAGGAUGUGUUUUUAUGUCGAUAUUUUGGAAAGAUUCUAAAUAAUCGAUCAAUGGAAGUUGAGUACACUGUAGAUGUGUAAGAUACAUUCUGGUUCUAAUGGUAGUUACAGAAUUGAUUGUUAUACCAUCAAAUACCGUGACAUUAUACUGCAAAGAUAAUUUCACCAUAGUCUUUGCUAAGGAGCUUAGGUCUCACCAG
RNAcentral lists this long non-coding RNA (210 nucleotides) under Elaeis guineensis (African oil palm). RNAcentral describes it as "long non-coding RNA (EGUI_LNC045359)". The record is from RNAcentral. Lineage: Eukaryota; Viridiplantae; Streptophyta; Magnoliopsida; Arecales; Arecaceae.